AGAUUAUGGAGAAGAAAAAGAGAUGUUGGAUGAAAAAGACUAUGGAAAAAGAAAAGAGAUAUGGCAUGAGAAAGAAUUACAUCAAAAAGAAAAUAUAUCAUUAUCACAAGAAGUCAUAGGUAAGCAGUUUGAGCCUACAAUCACAAGAGCCAGGGAUCAUAGAAGAAGGGUUAUUGACAAAUUUAAAAAGGCAUUGCCAACAAAGAAGAAGGAGAGUCUGUAAGGUUGAGCCAAUGAAAGAAAAAUUCUUCUAAAACUACAAGCAACAAACAAUCAAGUUACAAGAAGUUAGUGUCUUCGAAGUGAGAUGUAGG
Molecule: long non-coding RNA, 314 nt
Filed under: Physcomitrium patens
Lineage: Eukaryota; Viridiplantae; Streptophyta; Bryopsida; Funariales; Funariaceae
Description: long non-coding RNA (PPAT_LNC011102)
Source: RNAcentral